This 2413-nucleotide long non-coding RNA is filed under the name Daphnia magna. RNAcentral describes it as "uncharacterized LOC123469368". Lineage: Eukaryota; Metazoa; Arthropoda; Branchiopoda; Diplostraca; Daphniidae. The record is from RNAcentral.
AAUUCGUUUCUUUUAUCCUCAUCUAUUGGGAAAUGAUUUACAUUUUCACUACAGACCUCGCGUUCUUUGAAGGACUUUGGGAAAAACCCACGUCUCGCGUGUUGCCGCGCUUUAGAAUCUCUGCAAACUGUUUAUACGCAGGCGAUGUUUCACAGUUCAAAACAAAAAAAAUGUUUUUCAGGCUUCCGUUUCGGCCGAGAUCAACGAAAAGGAUCUGCACAUCAAAGCGCUAAAAUAUAAAAUGGUGUGGGCAAUCGAUCGAUUCUUCUCUCGUUUCAAGCGAUAGGUAAAGCAUCCUGUCCCAACAAUGUACGACACCGAAAAAAAUUGGCUUUCAAUUGCCUAACCGAGUAAAACAAUGUGACAGUGCAUAGCAAUUGAUGUCGGGGUCAAUUAAAACAUCUACUUCAUUCCAAUAGCCACCGUUCGAACGUAUAGAAAGCUCCACUCUGUGAAAACAUGUGUCUAUAACCACUAGAUGUUCACGCUUAUUUUGUUGGCCGUUGUUUCCUAUUCGAUUCCAAACUUUUCAGCGAUUUCAAUUCGACGUGACAUAAACAAGACAUCAGUGCCAACAUAUUCACACUUGAUGGCGGACUGUGUGUAUCGCGGGAUAAACAAGACACAUACGAUAAAAAUAACCGGGCAAGAGCCAAGAAAGCGGAUCGAUUUUUUUUUUUUUAAAGGAACUCUCUAGGCAUUUCUUGUUUAACUUCGUUUCGGCUGCAGAUGAAACGAGAAUAACAAGACUCAGGGAAAAAAAAAAGAAAAAGAAAACAGGAGGGUGGCGGCAGUAGCAAAGGUUGUUGCUUCUCUAUAGUUAUUAGAACUUUCCCCCUUUUCCUUUUCAUCUUCAACAUUGUGUAGAUACAUUUAAUGCUCCAAUCAAAAACAUUCCGUCGCUCUAUGUAGUCCACCACAAAAGGUUUAAUACGAGAAGGACGUUAACGGCCAGUAUAUAUAUACACGAGUUGAAGGAAUAAGAAAAAAGAAUUAAAUCUGUUUCUUUUUUCUGAUGGUGAGAUGAUGGCCGGCAACAAGUUUUUUGUUAUAAUUCUUUUCUUCUUAGGCCUUUCCCUUCAAAAUUAUUUUCUCCCCCCAUAGUUUUUCAUUUCUUCUAUCCGUUAUAUUUUCAGAAAAGAAAAUGUGGUCAGUGGGAAGAACCAAUCAGCAUAAUAAAUGGGCACGCGGAGAGGCCCGGCUUAUAUCCAGCGAGAGAAAGAGGGUUUUAUGUUUAAAUAUAAUUACCCGAAAGCAAAAUAGCCAAACCGGCGCCUCCAUGACGACGGCAACCAAGAAGGGAGGGGGGGGGGAUUAUACUUAAGAAAAUACAAAAGAAACUCCAGACUGACCAUAGAUCAGAUUUAUGCCUCUGAGUUAUUGUCUUACCUUCCCCUCAGAUUAUUUGAUCCGAUACCUUUUUUUUUUUUUUCCUGUUAACCCGAGCGAUAUGGAUUUUCUUGUUGUUUGGUCUACCCGAACUAAAAUCUUUUUCCUCCUUUUUCUUUUUCAGGACUCGCCAAUGUUUUUCAAUCCGCCUGUCUAAUAUGGUCUGCGUAGACGUUUAUAUAUGUAGGAGGGUGCGGGAAUUCAUUUUUCCGGGCUCGUGCACGAAAUCAGCCAUCGUUCACACCGGCACAAGCGCCAGUGACUGUGAAAGAGGGACGCAGGAGACCGAAAGCUGAUGUCUCAGAGGAGAUGGGAUCCGAGUCACUGAAUUCCCUUCUCUUCCCCAGAAACAGGGAAAAGCAAUCAUUGCACUAUAAAAACUAUUUUCAGCCUUCCUUUAACCAUUCCAAAAUAAAAGCCUCCCCCCUCCACCCUCACUCUUUGACCAGUUGCUUUUUUCUACUUCAUCGAAACCCCUAACGGCUAACCCCUUUUUGUUUUCUGUUACAGAAAGAAGACGCUUACGUAAUGAAUAAAAAGGAUCGCCUAUAGAAUGACAGCUGCAACAAAUACGAGGAAGACCUGACACGUAACGCAAAUAAUACGACGGUAAAUAAUUUUUGAUAGAGUUCAGUACCUGAUUUAGAUGGCAGAAGCGAAGAGUGCGGCUGAGGAAGGUUCGUGUGCGACCGGAAUCGAGUGCGUCUGAGAGCUGACUGCUUCCUCGCUCGCCGUUCGAAAAGACUUUUUAGUUUGGGAGGCAAGCGGGUGGAGAAAGGGGAGGAUAUGUUGCUGUUUGGCCCUCACUGACUGGUAAAGCUUCCUCUCCCGUCUGCGCCGUUAGAAGUGAGGAAAAACACGAUCUUCUUGUGCGCGCCACCAAUCACCGAACAGACGGGCCAUUUCCGCCCAACGUUUGGCCACGUUCUUUUAUUUAUUUUAUUCCUUUUUUUCGUUUCCCUUUUGUUUGUUUUUUGAAAUUUUAACCACCAUUUCAAUUCUGAACGUAAACUGUCAAAUAAUC